GAUGAACGCUGGCGGCAUGCCUAAUACAUGCAAGUCGAACGAGAGGAAGGAAAGCUUGCUUUCCUGAAUCUAGUGGCGAACGGGUGAGUAACACGUAGGUAACCUGCCCAUGUGCCCGGGAUAACUUCUGGAAACGGAUGCUAAAACCGGAUAGGUAGCAGACAAGCAUUUGACUGCUAUUAAAGUGGCCUUGGCCAUGAACAUGGAUGGACCUGCGGUGCAUUAGCUGGUUGGUGAGGUAACGGCCCACCAAGGCGACGAUGCAUAGCCGGCCUGAGAGGGCGGACGGCCACAUUGGGACUGAGAUACGGGCCCAGACUCCUACGGGAGGCAGCAGUGGGGAAUAUUGGGCAACAGGGGGCAACCCUGACGCAGCAACGCCGCGUGAACGAUGAAGGUCUUCGGAUUGUAAAGUUC
Molecule: ribosomal RNA, 417 nt
Filed under: uncultured bacterium
Lineage: Bacteria
Description: bacterial SSU rRNA
Rfam family: Bacterial small subunit ribosomal RNA
Source: RNAcentral